RNAcentral lists this ribosomal RNA (406 nucleotides) under uncultured bacterium. RNAcentral's name for it is "partial 16S ribosomal RNA". It matches the Rfam family "Bacterial small subunit ribosomal RNA", at positions 28 to 526 of the family's 1533-position model. The record is from RNAcentral.
GAUGAACGCUGACAGCAUGCUUAACACAUCAGCAAUUGAUUGGUGGCGGAGGGGUGAGUAACGCGUAAAGAACUUACCUCACAGUUAGGGACAAAAUUUGGAAACGAAUGCUAAUACCUAAUACUGUGAGAGAGCUUUGCGUCACAUUGGCUAGUUGGAGAGGUAACUGCUCACCCAGGCGAUGAUGGGUAGCCGGCCUGAGAGGGUGAUCGGCCACAAGGGGACUGAGACACGGCCCUUACUCCUACGGGAAGCAGCAGUGUGGAAUAUAGGACAAUUGACCAAAGUCUGAUGCAGCAAUUCUGUGUGCACGAUGAAGUUUUCGGAAUGUAAAGUGCUUUCAGUUGGGAAGCGGUACCAACAGAAGAAGUGACGGCUAAAUACGUGCCAGCAGCCGCGGUAAUUC